UACGAAGGGUGCAAGCGUUACUCGGUAUUACUGGGCGUAAAGCGUGCGUAGGUGGUUCGUUAAGUCUGAUGUGAAAGCCCUGGGCUCAACCUGGGAAUGGCAUUGGAAACUGGCGACCUAGAGUGCGGUAGAGGGUAGUGGAAUUCCCGGUGUAGCAGUGAAAUGCGUAGAGAUCGGGAGGAACAUCCGUGGCGAAGGCGACUACCUGGACCAGCACUGACACUGAGGAGCGAAAGCCAGGGGAGCAAACGGG
Molecule: ribosomal RNA, 253 nt
Filed under: uncultured bacterium
Lineage: Bacteria
Description: partial 16S ribosomal RNA
Rfam family: Bacterial small subunit ribosomal RNA
Source: RNAcentral